Molecule: long non-coding RNA, 2043 nt
Organism: Musa acuminata AAA Group (dessert banana)
Lineage: Eukaryota; Viridiplantae; Streptophyta; Magnoliopsida; Zingiberales; Musaceae
Exons: 7
Source: RefSeq, a predicted model, not a curated record
GUCCACCGAUGGUUUUGCGCUUCCCCUCGUCAUCGUCCGCCGCCCGAUGCCGUGUUCGUGAUGUACGGCGAUUUCGCACCGGAGAAAGCCACACGAGCCUUUCUCGGUUCGCCGCCGUCAUUCUCUCUUCUCUCUCGUCCUAUACCUCGCCUAAUCUUUGGUGGGAAGCCUGCCUCCGAGAUGAAACCCUAGCCCGCGGUCUCUUUCGUCCUCUGACAUUUCGCUCCAAUCGCCGCAGUUCAAGUACGUCGUAGCUACGGUUCGAAUGGCGUGGAAAGAUUCGACCUCCUGUUGCUUUCUUGGUUGAAUUUUUUCGCAGUUCCAGGAGUGCAAAAAGGCGGUUUCGAGGAGCAGCAUGGGGAUGAUUUAGGUUCCCAAUUCGAAGAUAUCAUCGAUCACAUGUGGCAAGUGUGAUUUCCAUUGCUCUCAAUUGAUGAGGGAAGUUAUCAUUUACGGUCUGGACCUGGGCAGUCGGCAGUGAUAUCCUCCGAGAUAAAAACCUUAAGCUCCCGAGGUGUCAAUUGAAGACCGAGGUUGGAAGAGAUUUUGGUACUAGUGCGGACGUCGAUAGUCAAAAUGGGUGGAGGGUGGCUUUGUCUUCUCUUUUCAUCCUAGACAUCACUCGACGGUUGUGUAUCAGAUGACUAUUGGCUGACGACGUACUCCCUAUCACCAAUCAUGCUUUAUCAAGUUCUUGGAUAGUUUUUUGACCUUUAUCUUAUUUUUCGGUAGAUUCUUGAACUCCUAAACAUGAUGCAUUAUGUAUUCUACUAGUUGCUUCUUUACCUUGCUUGGAAGUACAAAAACAUUUCGUUGCUUGCUGAGUUUGUGGUAUUUAUAUCACUCCCCCCCCUUUAGGAGUACUUGUAACUUAGCUCUAUUUGAGGAAGACUUGGUAAACUCUAUGCAGAUAGAAGGCCAUUUUACAUAAGAAGCUUGUUUAGAGUGGUGUAUUCAUGGCAUAAUGGCUGGUGAGCAAAUGACUCGUGUAACAUGAUCAACUCUGCAAGCAAUGAGGUGCAUUAACCACAUUUGCAAAUAUCACAAAAAGAUCAAGGAAUUGCAAGGAGUUGAGGAGCAUCUGAAAAAUCAAUAGAAACUAUUAGGUGCAUUAACCACAUUUGCAAAUAUCACAAAAAGAUCAAGGAAUUGCAAGGAGUUGAGGAGCAUCUGAAAAAUCAAUAGAAACUAUUAGGUGCAUUAACCACAUUUGCAAAUAUCACAAAAAGAUCAAGGAAUUGCAAGGAGUUGAGGAGCAUCUGAAAAAUCAAUAGAAACUAUUAGUCUUGCAUUAAGGGUGGUUGAUGUUAUGAUAAUGUUUGGGGUUCAUUCUGCUCAAGUUACUGGGCCAAUGGGCACAUAAACUCAUAGCUUGUGCAGGCCAUCCAUGAACAAACAUCUGACCGCACAAGGUUGUUGAAUUAUCUGCAGAUGGCCGAUGAUGAUUGGCAAUUAAGAUGUCUGCAGACUGGUUCCAAGGGCAAACACUUGGAGCUGAUAUUACUCUUACAAUCAAUGGGCUAUGGGCUAUGGGAGGGGAGGACAUGACUAGGCGAGGACAGAUUUGACAUCGAAGACCUUCAAGAGAAGUAUCAAAUCUCAGCCAUGCGUGGCCUCAGAGUUCCGCCAUCAACACACCACAUUAUGCUGGCUCGUUAUUAUCGAUCACCAGCAAUUUUUCCACCGGUCUGUUCAAAUCAGUAGCGACGACCGCGGGUUGAUUUAAAAUGUGGUCAAGUCCAACUCGCACGCAUGGAAAAAGGGAAGAGAGAGAGAGUGAGAGAGAGUCCAUGAUCAACGUGGAAUACUGGUCGGAGGGCAUUUAUCACGGACAUGUCGUUGUCCGAUCCCUUGUUGGUUUUGGAUGGAUGAGAAGCGUGAGUUGUGAGUGUAGAAGGCUUCUCAUCUACAUACCUUUUGGAUCCACUUUCUUAGGAGUACAAUGGUGAAGUGACGAUGAAGAUAAUGCAAUGCGUGUCAUGAGCUUGGGUAUUAAGAUAAUUUUGAAUGCUUAAUUAAGUUUGACCUCUAUGGUUCUCAUCA